CGGGACAACGCGGGACAACGCGGGAGAACACGGGACAACAUGGGAGAACACGGGACAACGCGGGAGAACACGGGAUGGUGUGAGGUGUGACAACAUGGAGCAAUGCGGCGUGGUGCAAGGUGGCCUGGCGGUGCAACGCGGCACGACACGGUGCAACACGGCACGACGUGGUGCAAGACGGCACGACACAUUGCAAUGCAGCACGACACGGUGCAACACGGCACGACAUGGUGCAACAUGGCACGACAUGGUGCAACACGUCACGACACGGUGCAACACAUCACAACAUGAUGCAACACAGCACAACGUGGUGCAAUGCAGCACGACACGGUGCAACAUGGCACAACAUGGUGCAACAUGGCACGACACGGUGCAACACGUCACGACACGAUGCAACACGGCACGACACGGUGCAACGCAGCAUGACGUGGUGCAAGAUGGCACAACGUGGUGCAAGAUGGCACAGCAGUGCAACAUGGCAUGACACAGUGCAACGCGGCACGACAUGGUGCAACAUGGCACGAUGUGGUGCAACAUGGCACGACGUGGUGCAAUGCAGCACGACAUGGUGCAAGAUGGCAUGACAUGGUGUGACGUGGCACAACGUGGUGCAACACAGCAUGGCAGUGCAACACGGCAUGACAAUGCAAUGCAGCACGACAUGGUGCAACAUGGCACGACGUGGUGCAAUGCAGCACGACAUGGUGCAACAUGGCACAACAUGGUGCAACAUGGCACGACACGGUGCAACACGUCACGACACGGUGCUACACAUCACGACAUGAUGCAACAGAGCACGACGUGGUGCAGUGCAGCACGACGUGGUGCAACAUGGCACGACACGGUGCAACGCGGCACGACAGUGCAACAUGGCAUGACGUGGUGCAAGGCAGCACGACAUGGUGCAGGAUGGCAUGACAUGGUGCAACAUGGCACGACAGUGCAACGCAGCACGACAUGGUGCAACACGGCACGACACGGUGCAACACAGCACGACACGGUGCAACACAGCACGAUGGUGCAACAUGGCACGGCGGUGCAACAUGGCACGGCGGUGCAACACAGCAUGACACAGUGCAAUGCGGCACGACAUGGUGCAACAUGGCAUGACGUGGUGCAACGCAGCACGACACGGCGCAAGGCGGCACGAUGCAACACAGCACAGCACAGCGCAACACGGCAUGGCAGGGGACGGUGCAGCGCAACACAGCAUGGUGCAACACAAGAGUGUGGCACAAGGUGGUGUAGGACAACGCAGCGCAACAUGGCACGGUGCAACACAGCAGCAUGGCGUGGCACGGCGCAACACAGCACAGUGCAACAGAGCACGGUGCACCAUGGAGCAGUGCCACCCAACGGAGCAUGGCACGGCGUGGUGCAACAUGGCCUGGCGUGA
Molecule: long non-coding RNA, 1396 nt
Filed under: Anser cygnoides (Swan goose)
Lineage: Eukaryota; Metazoa; Chordata; Aves; Anseriformes; Anatidae
Description: lncRNA (ENSACDG00005008783.1)
Source: RNAcentral